Long non-coding RNA from Chrysoperla carnea, 135 nucleotides. RefSeq lists it as uncharacterized. The record is from RefSeq and is a predicted model, not a curated record. Lineage: Eukaryota; Metazoa; Arthropoda; Insecta; Neuroptera; Chrysopidae. The transcript has 3 exons.
AAUCAUUUAUUACAGGAAAUUUAAUAAUUCCCAAAUUCCUAAAUUAUAUUCACAAAUCCUCCCAAACGAUUCCCAAAUGAAUGGAAAUAGUUUGAGUGAAAAGUAACAAUUUUAUCUGCUAACUAUACGGAGCUC